AAUGAGCUUCCUCCUCAUUAAAGACAUUAAACUCUAUUUAAUAUUCCACCUCUACAGAGGGACUGUGCUGGACUUUGUUCAUAGACUUGUCAAUAAGCCUCUCACUAAGUGCUUACAGGGUGAAGUAACAGCAGGAGUUCAAACCCUGGAAGUCAUUUCUAUGUUGUUGGAAUCAAACAAUCCACUUCCAGGGUUCAGCUUUGGCCUCUUCUCUGCUGAAAACAUGGAGCUCUUCUAUUUCCAGUGUCAGUGUCUCAGUGCUUUGUUCUUCAUGUGCUGGUAGUGUUUUAUUUCCAGCACCAUGGUGCAGCGUCUGCAUCAGUGAGGGUCUCAGAAUGUGUGCUAUCAGGAUGAACAGAUCAGAGGAUGCAGAGUCAAAGGUGGAGUCAGUGAUUGUGAUCAACACAGUUUGUGUCAGAUUCAGUGAAUAUCUCCUCACAGUCUGCUGGCUGUCUGUUCUAUGUUCAAACACAGUCCUGUUCUGGAAAUGGAGCGAACAAUGAGGCUCAGAGCGACAACACAGCACCAUUCCAGAGAGGCCUGUGCACAGGAGAGCUGGUGCAUGUGAAAGCUAGUGCAUGUGAAAGCUAGUGCACGUGAAAGCUAGUGCAUGUGAAAGCUAGUGCACACUCAUUCUGGUACACAGAGAGAUGGGGUCAGUAGGAGCCAGAAGGAAAAUACAUUUGGAACAUGCUAACUAGCUAAAAGUGCUGCCUCCCUAAAUAUGCCACAUAGCUACAAAUGUGAACUAUCUACACUACCAGUCAAAAGUUUGGGGUCACUCAGAAAAUUUCAUGCUUUACAUGAAAACUGACACUUUUAUUCAUGUGCUAUGCAGAGCAUGUUUAUUUUUGAUAUAGAAGACAUGCAACUUCUCUCAGUUAAAGUAGUUUAUUCUGCAAUGCCAAGUAGCUUGAUAUCAAGGACCAUUACUGUUCAGAGGACUAUAGUGAACAAAAGUAUUAAUCUGAAGGCAUCUUCCCAGUAAUGGAUGGAAUUCACAGUGUAUACAGUGUAUGUAUGAAAAUGUGCAACAAUCUCAUUGGUCAAAAACUGAUGAAGAGGAACCAUUUUUAACUCAGUCUUCUCAUUUGUGCACAGGCGUGUCCUUAGCCUCUUGGCACAUGAUCCCUCCAAUCAGAAGAUCCCGGAUACUGUAAAUGAGACCCUCCCAAUUAUGAUUCAUAAUGUAUCUUUCUGUACUGUUUCCUUCUCCAUUAACUGCCAACUUCUGUCUCAGUCAUAAAUUAUCACAUCUUCUAGUUGACACACCAACUCCAGUCAUCAGUAUUUUAUCAGUUUUUAGACACAGCAGCUUUUGUUCUAACAAGAAGUCUUCAGGACAUGGAGCGGCCUUCAGUACUGAGUGAGUGUGUGAGAACAUGCAGUGUAUGUGCAUGUAUGUGUGUGUCACCAAUGAGUUGGUGUGUUUUAGUGUAGGCUGCUUGCAUUUUACCAUCAUCUGACCUGGUUCAUUUCAUCUUUGUUUUAUCCCAAUUCACACAAUGUGGGAUAAUGUUCGAGACCCUCACAUCCUUCAAAGGAUAACACAACUCUUUAUUAGCACGUAAGCAGUGAUUAAAUCAAUAUUAAGCCAGCAGUAUAGUAGAAUAGAAAUAAUAAAAAUAAUAAAUCCUAACAGCAAACAACUGCACAACGGUUUUCUAAUCAUCAAUUUGCCUUCCAACACCAUUAGCUAAUGUCAUAGUUUCUCUGAUGUCCGCGAUGUUCAGGUGAAGGAGAAAUGUACGUGACACUGACUUUCUUUAUAAGUUUUUUAUUAAAAGAAAGAACAGCAUCAGUACAGACAGAAGUUGUCUGGAAGGAGCCCGCCAAUUGAUUCCUUCUCGAACCAUGGGCUAGUGAACAGCUUUAUACCCUAUCUAUCUGGUAAGGAUCGAAUUACAACAUCUGGUUCAUGUCUGAAGACCCCUUACUCAAAAACAAGACCACCCUUGAAUAGAACCCCUCUGCUCUGAAAUCCCAAAGGAACACAUCCAUCUUCUAGCUGGACAUGGGUGCCUCAAAGACAACAAGUGAUCUGUUCCUGAGACUGAAAAACACAUUCCAACGGCAUGGGUAGAAUUAGUCAUGCAUGUAAUGCAGGUUCCAUCUGUGGUCAGAGACAAAGAACCACACCAGAGCAGACACUACAGAUAACAAGCAACUCCUAUCAGAUACCAGAACAAACAAAACAGAUUCCAUUCUACUAACUUAUUAAUUAAUACAUGUCUCAGAUCAGAUACUACACUAACACAAUGUAGCAUUAGAACAUAGAAUAAAUUUGCUAACGACUAAAAUCAACAAACUGCUUAACUAUGCUAAGUAGCUACGUAUGCUCACUUAUGGAAUAAAUUUCCUAUCAUAAUUCAAGAGCAUUUUAAAUUGAUUUGAGGGCAGCAUUUAUCGAUUUCAUUCUCAGAUUUUGUGAUAUUGUCUCUCAGAACUCUGCUCUUGCACUCAAAUUUACUCUGUACGUGCUCAAACUGUGUCCUCCACUCGGUUACGAUGCUGCUCGCACAGAUUUCCUGCGCUCAAACUCAAACUCUUCUUCUUGCUCUCACGGAACUUCUGCUCACGGAUCUCUGCUCUGCUCUCGGAUUUUUUGUGUAUCAACGCUGUCAACCAAUAGAAGGCCGGCGAGCUUUGACCAGUCACAUUAUCCCUGUUUGUAUACGGGUGCGUUCGCUGUUUUUCUGAGGAACGUCGCAUAAGGGCAGGCAUUCUUUCAACAGGUUUUAUCCACUCCCUACCUCCGGGGCUGUAAUAAAUGGGAUUUCUUUUAUUUUUUUGACCACUGUUGGAAUAAAAUAUCAUUCAAUACAUACAACAGCAUCCGAGCUUCUCAUUAAAAUGGCUCUAUUGUAUAAUAAUAGCGGCAUCGAACACUGCUCUUUGAGGUGUGCUGGUGGAGAAAACAAGAAAACAACUUUCUGUACAUUUCUGCUACUUUCUUAGGAUACAGAAGUACUAGGCUGUGGGGCAUGCCUUGAUAAUAACCCUAGGAAAAGAGUUUAUUUUGUGAGCCGGCACAAGGGGAUGUGGCAUUUAAUUUGUGUUUUUCUUUAUAUUUUUGUUUGUUUUGCAUGUAUUUAUGAUUUAUUUGGGGUUUUUGUGUAUGUAUUGGAUUUAUUUGGGUUGCUGUGUUUUUUGGGUUAAUUUGCAUGUGUAAUUAGUUGUUGCCACCUACCUGCCAUUGCCGUGACUACCCUGAAUCACGUUUUUCCCCUAAUCACUGAGUCCUGGGCAAUCAUGUUCAGCUGUGCAUGAUUGAAGCCCAGGAGAACAAAGCAGCUGAGCAGGAGCAGCAGAGGGACGCUGAGGGAUGCUGAGAGGCCGACACCGAGGGAAGAGCAGUAGAGGGGCGCCAAGAGCGCCGAGGGCGAGACGCCGGGACCACGAGAGACACCGAGACCACGAGAGACACCGAGACCAGAGCAGCACACCAGGAGCAGUGGAGAGACACCAGGCCACAUUGCAAUCGGGCUAAAGGGGCAGAAAGGCACACGCACUGGAGACCGCAAGUGUUACGACGUGAUUCACACGCAGUGGCAGGGAGAAUUCCCUGCCUGUCGUGUAAGUAUCGAGCGAGAGAGUAGUAGCACUUGGCGGACACGAGCUAAGCUAACGCUGUUGUCGUAUGAGAACGCAGACUGCCGCUUGUUGUUGUGUGUUUACCUAAGGGUUCCCAGCGUGCCAGAGGAGCGGCUAGCUGGGUAGAAGUCUGAGAUGAGUGAAGUGGCGUCGUGAGCGGACACACGUAAGGGCAGCGGUUUCCUUCACCUCCGGUGCGACCUGGUGCGUGUGACCGAGGGGACCUCACCGACCUGGAUCGGAAGGCUGCCUGUAUCCCCAACUGCACUUUAGCCCCCUGCUCAAGGACGGUGCCAUUUUUAGUUUGUUUUAAGUGAUUCUUCUUCGUAUCGUGCAUUUUUGGCCCACUGUUUUUAUUGUAUUUUAAUGGACUUUUAGGAUAAAACCAUAUUUUUAUUCAUGGGCAUUUUUAACUGGUUUAAUCAUAUUUUAUAUUAAAUCUUAAUGAUUGCA
Acanthochromis polyacanthus (spiny chromis) is the source of this 4047-nucleotide long non-coding RNA. RefSeq lists it as uncharacterized. The record is from RefSeq and is a predicted model, not a curated record. The transcript is spliced from 2 exons. Lineage: Eukaryota; Metazoa; Chordata; Actinopteri; Pomacentridae.